AGUGAACGCUGGCGGUAGGCCUAACACAUGCAAGUCGAACGGCAGCACAGGAGAGCUUGCUCUCUGGGUGGCGAGUGGCGGACGGGUGAGGAAUACAUCGGAAUCUACUUUUUCGUGGGGGAUAACGUAGGGAAACUUACGCUAAUACCGCAUACGACCUACGGGUGAAAGCAGGGGACCUUCGGGCCUUGCGCGAUUGAAUGAGCCGAUGUCGGAUUAGCUAGUUGGCGGGGUAAAGGCCCACCAAGGCGACGAUCCGUAGCUGGUCGGAGAGGAUGAUCAGCCACACUGGAACUGAGACACGGUCCAGACUCCUACGGGAGGCAGCAGUGGGGAAUAUUGGACAAUGGGCGCAAGCCUGAUCCAGCCAUACCGCGUGGGUGAAGAAGGCCUUCGGGUCGUAAAGCCCUUUUGUUGGGAAAGAAAUCCAGCCGGCUAAUACCUGGUUGGGAUGACGGUACCCAAAGAAUAAGCACCGGCUAACUUCGUGCCAGCAGCCGCCGCAG
This 506-nucleotide ribosomal RNA is filed under the name uncultured bacterium. RNAcentral's name for it is "partial 16S ribosomal RNA". It matches the Rfam family "Bacterial small subunit ribosomal RNA", at positions 29 to 523 of the family's 1533-position model. The record is from RNAcentral.